AGGGAAUCUUCCGCAAUGGGCGAAAGCCUGACGGAGCAACGCCGCGUGAGUGAUGAAGGUCUUCGGAUCGUAAAACUCUGUUAUUAGGGAAGAACAAAUGUGUAAGUAACUGUGCACGUCUUGACGGUACCUAAUCAGAAAGCCACGGCUAACUACGUGCCUGCAGCCGCGGUAAUACGUAGGUGGCAAGCGUUAUCCGGAAUUAUUGGGCGUAAAGCGCGCGUAAGCGGUUUCUUAAGUCUGAUGUGAAAGCCCACGGCUCAACCGUGGAGGGUCAUUGGAAACUGGGAAACUUGAGUGCAGAAGAGGAAAGUGGAAUUCCAUGUGUAGCGGUGAAAUGCGCAGAGAUAUGGAGGAACACCAGUGGCGAAGGCGACUUUCUGGUCUGUAACUGACGCUGAUGUGCGAAAGCGUGGGGAUCAAACAGGAUUAGAUACCCUGGUAGUCCACGCCGUAAACGAUGAGUGCUAAGUGUUAGGGGGUUUCCGCCCCUUAGUGCUGCAGCUAACGCAUUAAGCACUCCGCCUGGGGAGUACGACCGCAAGGUUG
RNAcentral lists this ribosomal RNA (549 nucleotides) under uncultured bacterium. RNAcentral's name for it is "bacterial SSU rRNA". It matches the Rfam family "Bacterial small subunit ribosomal RNA", at positions 356 to 896 of the family's 1533-position model. The record is from RNAcentral.